GAUGAACGCUAGCGGCAGGCCUAACACAUGCAAGUCGAGGAGUAGAACACUUCGGUGUUUGAGACCGGCGCACGGGUGCGUAACGCGUAUGCAAUCUACCUUAUACAGGGGAAUAGCCCAGAGAAAUUUGGAUUAAUGCCCCAUAGCAUUACGACUUGGCAUCAAGAUGUAAUUAAAGUUCCAACGGUAUAAGAUGAGCAUGCGUCCCAUUAGUUAGUUGGUAAGGUAACGGCUUACCAAGACGAUGAUGGGUAGGGGUCCUGAGAGGGAGAUUCCCCACACUGGUACUGAGACACGGACCAGACUCCUACGGGAGGCAGCAGUGAGGAAUAUUGGUCAAUGGUCGCAAGACUGAACCAGCCAUGCCGCGUGCAGGAAGACGGUCCUAUGGAUUGUAAACUGCUUUUAUACAGGAAGAAACCCUCCCACGUGUGGGAGCUUGACGGUACUGUAGGAAUAAGGAUCGGCUAACUCCGUGCCAGCAGCCGCCGUAA
RNAcentral lists this ribosomal RNA (494 nucleotides) under uncultured bacterium. Its description in RNAcentral is "partial 16S ribosomal RNA". It matches the Rfam family "Bacterial small subunit ribosomal RNA", at positions 28 to 523 of the family's 1533-position model. The record is from RNAcentral.